Long non-coding RNA from Python bivittatus (Burmese python), 741 nucleotides. RefSeq lists it as uncharacterized. Lineage: Eukaryota; Metazoa; Chordata; Lepidosauria; Squamata; Pythonidae. The record is from RefSeq and is a predicted model, not a curated record.
AUGCACUGACGUACCGAAAGGGCGGGGCCAGAGGUCGGACGGGUUUCGGGAAGCCCGUGGCUCUAAUUAGGCUCACGCUCUAGCCUUUGGCGGCAGCUCUAUGAGAGAAGAAAUGAGGACUGAAUCACAAAAUAUUUGAAGGAAGAAUAGUUCAAGAGGAAAUGGAAGACAGAGAAAGCUGUGUUUGUAUGGUGUUGAUGAGAUCUUCAGAAAAUGAGAGCUCUUCAGAUACUUGAAAACAGCUCACCUGUCUCCUCAUGGUCUUCUGUUCCCAAGGCUAGAAACAUGCACUGUAAUGCCUCCAAAGGUUUAUUCUGCCUACGUUUUUCUUUCUAGGCCCCUUAUUAUUUUGAUUGCUUUUCUUUCAAUACACUCCAGUUUGUCAGUGUCAGUCCUAAAAAGUGAUACCGAGAGCUUGACACAAUGCUCUAGGUACAGCCCAGCCAAUGCAAGAGAGAGAGAAACAAUGUCUUAUGGUCAAUACCAAAAUGUAUUGUGUAUUAGGCAGGAAUGCACCGUAUUCCUACUACUGUGGGAGAUACGUAGCAAGUUUUGCCUGUUUUAUGCUGGUAUUUUACCUUCAAUAAGAUAGACUUGAAAUGUGACAAAGAGCAUUACAGUAUCUUUCAGAAGCCCCUCAGUGGUUCUCUUCUGUACAGACAACAUCAUACUUUCUCUGAGCAUAAUUUCUAUUAAUAAAGUCUGGAUUGGCAUAACCUGAACUGUGAUUGGUUCCACACU